RNAcentral lists this ribosomal RNA (468 nucleotides) under uncultured bacterium. Its description in RNAcentral is "partial 16S ribosomal RNA". It matches the Rfam family "Bacterial small subunit ribosomal RNA", at positions 28 to 507 of the family's 1533-position model. The record is from RNAcentral.
GACGAACGCUGGCGGCGUGCUUAGCACAUGCAAGUCGAACGGAAAGGCCCUGCUUUUGUGGGGUGCUCGAGUGGCGAACGGGUGAGUAACACGUGAGUAACCUGCCCUUGACUUUGGGAUAACUUCAGGAAACUGGGGCUAAUACCGGAUAGGAGCUCCUGCUGCAUGGUGGGGGUUGGAAAGUUUCGGCGGUUGGGGAUGGACUCGCGGCUUAUCAGCUUGUUGGUGGGGUAGUGGCUUACCAAGGCUUUGACGGGUAGCCGGCCUGAGAGGGUGACCGGCCACAUUGGGACUGAGAUACGGCCCAGACUCCUACGGGAGGAAGCAGUGGGGAAUAUUGCACAAUGGGCGGAAGCCUGAUGCAGCAACGCCGCGUGCGGGAUGACGGCCUUCGGGUGGUAAACCGCUUUCGCCUGUGACGAAGCGUGAGUGACGGUAAUGGGUAAAGAAGCACCGGCUAACUACGUG